Long non-coding RNA from Cephus cinctus (wheat stem sawfly), 1183 nucleotides. RefSeq lists it as uncharacterized. The transcript is spliced from 5 exons. The record is from RefSeq and is a predicted model, not a curated record. NCBI's taxonomy places the organism in Eukaryota, Metazoa, Arthropoda, Insecta, Hymenoptera, Cephidae.
CUCGCAGACUGCAAUCGAGCCGCAGCGAACCAGUCAAGAGCUCUAGCUGACUCACGAUCUCCUCCAUUGGCGUAAACAACAGGGGAUCAAGCAAUUGGUCUCGAUCGAAGUAAAUGCUUGAUGAAAAUACAUGCAUGGAUCUGCGCACUACAUAUAUUCACGGAAUUACACUCACUCUCCUGCCAAUAACCGAAUCACCAUAAAUCACUGGAGUAAAUCGAUAGCUCAACUUACUGGCCUAUUACCGUAGUGCGGUAAUAAAGCCGUACUGCUAACCUUAUUGGUGUCGUCUUAAUAACAACUUGAUCCAACCUGAAUAACAGAGGGAGUUGAGUUAUGGGAGUUUAAAGCUUCACCCCGAAGCACAGCGCCACUUAUGCACUGCAUGUACUAUGUAUGAAUGCAUAUAUGCAGUUACGUACCUGCACACAGUAAGGAAGAAGAGUGAAAUCGUACUAUGACUUUACGUGACCCAUGAAAAUCGAGGUUGCACCAAGUUCAGCUUCCAGUCGAAGGCUGUAAUCGUUUAAUCGAUUAUUUACUCAGUUCGUAAGAUAAAACAAUGGCGUUCCCAAAGCCAUCAACUUUAUUCGCUGUAUAAUUUUCUCUUUACACCUAUUGGAAAAUCCAGUGUCUACAGAAGAAUACCUUUGCGAGGGUUUGUUAUCGACCUAUGAGAAGGGGUCGGAAUGGAGCACAGCUGGAGAAAUACGACGAGACAGAAAUCCUCUUUAUGCCGACAAAACGCUAAACUACCUCGCAGAGUCAACAGAUACAUUGUAGAGUACAGUGUACGUACUAGGGAAGUUUACGGUUCUGCCCCCUUUACUGGAUAAUCGUACACGUGUACACGAGGUCAUUGUAACAUCUUGUACCACCUAGACCGAAGAAUCGUUUUGGGUGGUUAUCCUGGUACUAUCCUUUCGCAAGCAGUGGCCGUGAAGUUACGAAAUAGUUCGAUCUACAAAACGUGUGGCUGUAUCUCAAAUGUUGAAUGCAACUGCGAUAAGUCUUAAACGCUACACUAAACCGAAUAACGAACGUAAACUGUACAACAAUAAAGUUUGUCUCCGACCAGCACCAGGCGGCAAUAUGAGCGUUUCCAGCUUUUGGAAAUUUCUAACUGACUGUAUAACCGUAUACGGAAUAGCUGAGGUCGAGCCGCAAUGAUGAAUCCGUAUAA